AUUGAACGCUGGCGGAAUGCUUUACACAUGCAAGUCGAACGGUAGAGGGGGCAACCCCUCGAGAGUGGCGAACGGGUGAGUAAUAUAUCGGAACGUGCCCAGUAGUGGGGGAUAACGUAGCGAAAGUUACGCUAAUACCGCAUACGACCUAAGGAUGAAAGCGGGGGAUCGCAAGACCUCGCGCGAUUGGAGCGGCCGAUAUCAGAUUAGGUAGUUGGUGGGGGAAAGGCUCACCAAGCUAACGAUCUGUAGCUGGUCGGAGAGGACGAACAGCCACACUUGAACUGAGACACGGUCCAGACUCCUACGGGAGGCAGCAGUGGGGAAUUUUGGACAAUGGACGCAAGUCUGAUCCAGCCAUUCCGCGUGCAGGAUGAAGGCCCUCGGGUUGUAAACUGCUUUUGUACGGAACGAAAAGGUCUCUCUUAAUACGGGGGGCUCAUGACGGUACCGUAAGAAUAAGCACCGGCUAACUACGUGCCAGCCGCCGCGGUAA
This 496-nucleotide ribosomal RNA is filed under the name uncultured bacterium. RNAcentral's name for it is "partial 16S ribosomal RNA". It matches the Rfam family "Bacterial small subunit ribosomal RNA", at positions 30 to 523 of the family's 1533-position model. The record is from RNAcentral.